UACUCUCGACCUCCACAAGAGAUUUGUUCUCUGGUGGAAGGUCUUCUGAACCAUAGAGAAUAAGUCUCUUGUGGAAGUUAAGAGUA
RNAcentral lists this microRNA precursor (86 nucleotides) under Picea abies (Norway spruce). RNAcentral's name for it is "miR11466a stem-loop (pab-MIR11466a)". Lineage: Eukaryota; Viridiplantae; Streptophyta; Pinopsida; Pinales; Pinaceae. The record is from miRBase by way of RNAcentral.